CUGCGCGGAAGAUGUAACGGGGCUAAACCAUGCACCGAAGCUGCGGCAGCGACACUGUGUGUUGUUGGGUAGGGGAGCGUUCUGUAAGCCUGUGAAGGUGGCCUGUGAGGGUUGCUGGAGGUAUCAGAAGUGCGAAUGCUGACAUAAGUAACGAUAAAGCGGGUGAAAAGCCCGCUCGCCGGAAGACCAAGGGUUCCUGUCCAACGUUAAUCGGGGCAGGGUGAGUCGACCCCUAAGGCGAGGCCGAAAGGCGUAGUCGAUGGGAAACGGGUUAAUAUUCCCGUACUUGGUGUUACUGCGAAGGGGGGACGGAGAAGGCUAUGUUGGCCGGGCGACGGUUGUCCCGGUUUAAGCGUGUAGGUGUGUGUUCCAGGUAAAUCCGGUUCACUUUAACACUGAGGCGUGACGACGAGGCACUACGGUGCUGAAGCAACAAAUGCCCUGCUUCCAGGAAAAGCCUCUAAGCAUCAGGUAACAUCAAAUCGUACCCCAAACCGACACAGGUGGUCAGGUAGAGAAUACCAAGGCGCUUGAGAGAACUCGGGUGAAGGAACUAGGCAAAAUGGUGCCGUAACUUCGGGAGAAGGCACGCUGACACGUAGGUGAAGUGAUUUACUCAUGGAGCUGAAGUCAGUCGAAGAUACCAGCUGGCUGCAACUGUUUAUUAAAAACACAGCACUGUGCAAACACGAAAGUGGACGUAUACGGUGUGACGCCUGCCCGGUGCCGGAAGGUUAAUUGAUGGGGUCAGCGCAAGCGAAGCUCCUGAUCGAAGCCCCGGUAAACGGCGGCCGUAACUAUAACGGUCCUAAGGUAGCGAAAUUCCUUGUCGGGUAAGUUCCGACCUGCACGAAUGGCGUAAUGAUGGCCAGGCUGUCUCCACCCGAGACUCAGUGAAAUUGAACUCGCUGUGAAGAUGCAGUGUACCCGCGGCAAGACGGAAAGACCCCGUGAACCUUUACUAUAGCUUGACACUGAACAUUGAGCCUUGAUGUGUAGGAUAGGUGGGAGGCUUUGAAGUGUGGACGCCAGUCUGCAUGGAGCCGACCUUGAAAUACCACCCUUUAAUGUUUGAUGUUCUAACGUGGACCCGUAAUCCGGGUUGCGGACAGUGUCUGGUGGGUAGUUUGACUGGGGCGGUCUCCUCCUAAAGAGUAACGGAGGAGCACGAAGGUUGGCUAAUCCUGGUCGGACAUCAGGAGGUUAGUGCAAUGGCAUAAGCCAGCUUGACUGCGAGCGUGACGGCGCGAGCAGGUGCGAAAGCAGGUCAUAGUGAUCCGGUGGUUCUGAAUGGAAGGGCCAUCGCUCAACGGAUAAAAGGUACUCCGGGGAUAACAGGCUGAUACCGCCCAAGAGUUCAUAUCGACGGCGGUGUUUGGCACCUCGAUGUCGGCUCAUCACAUCCUGGGGCUGAAGUAGGUCCCAAGGGUAUGGCUGUUCGCCAUUUAAAGUGGUACGCGAGCUGGGUUUAGAACGUCGUGAGACAGUUCGGUCCCUAUCUGCCGUGGGCGCUGGAGAACUGAGGGGGGCUGCUCCUAGUACGAGAGGACCGGAGUGGACGCAUCACUGGUGUUCGGGUUGUCAUGCCAAUGGCACUGCCCGGUAGCUAAAUGCGGAAGAGAUAAGUGCUGAAAGCAUCUAAGCACGAAACUUGCCCCGA
Molecule: ribosomal RNA, 1660 nt
Filed under: Salmonella enterica
Lineage: Bacteria; Pseudomonadati; Pseudomonadota; Gammaproteobacteria; Enterobacterales; Enterobacteriaceae
Description: partial 23S ribosomal RNA
Rfam family: Bacterial large subunit ribosomal RNA
Source: RNAcentral